Molecule: ribosomal RNA, 450 nt
Filed under: uncultured bacterium
Lineage: Bacteria
Description: partial 16S ribosomal RNA
Rfam family: Bacterial small subunit ribosomal RNA
Source: RNAcentral
CCUACGGGGGGCUGCAGUAAGGAAUAUUGCGCAAUGGGCGAAAGCCUGACGCAGCGACGCCGCGUGGGGGAUGAAGGUCUUCGGAUUGUAAACCCCUUUCGGGAGGGAAGAUGGAGCGAGCAAUCGUUCGGACGGUACCUCCAGAAGCAGCCACGGCCAACUUCGUGCCAGCAGCCGCGGUAAUACGAAGGUGGCAAGCGUUGUUCGGAUUCACGGGGAGUACGUGGUGGGGGUUCGGUAAGGUAUGGGUUAAAGCGUCGGGCCCAACCCGGAAAGCGCAGAGGGUACUGCCAGGCUAGAGGGUGGGAGAGGAGCGCGGAAUUCCCGGUGUAGCGGUGAAAUGCGUAGAGAUCGGGAGGAAGGCCGGUGGCGAAGGCGGCGCUCUGGAACAUACCUGACGCUGAGACACGAAAGCGUGGGGAGCAAACAGGAUUAGAUACCCGGGUAGUC